This 758-nucleotide ribosomal RNA is filed under the name uncultured fungus. Its description in RNAcentral is "SSU rRNA". It matches the Rfam family "Eukaryotic small subunit ribosomal RNA", at positions 804 to 1590 of the family's 1831-position model. Lineage: Eukaryota; Fungi. The record is from RNAcentral.
UUAGCAUGGAAUAAUAAAAUAGGACGUAUGGUUCUAUUUUGUUGGUUUCUAGGACCAUCGUAAUGAUUAAUAGGGACGGUCGGGGGCAUCAGUAUUCAGUUGUCAGAGGUGAAAUUCUUGGAUUAACUGAAGACUAACUACUGCGAAAGCAUUUGCCAAGGACGUUUUCAUUAAUCAAGAACGAAAGUUAGGGGAUCGAAGAUGAUCAGAUACCGUCGUAGUCUUAACCAUAAACUAUGCCGACUAGGGAUCGGGUGGCGCUAUUUUGCCCACUCGGCACCUUACGAGAAAUCAAAGUUUUUGGGUUCUGGGGGGAGUAUGGUCGCAAGGCUGAAACUUAAAGGAAUUGACGGAAGGGCACCACCAGGAGUGGAGCCUGCGGCUUAAUUUGACUCAACACGGGGAAACUCACCAGGUCCAGACGUAAUAAGGAUUGACAAGUUAGAGACUUCUCUUGAUCUUACGGGUGGUGGUGCAUGGCCGUUUUUAGUCCUUGGAGUGAUUUGUCUGCUUAAUUGCGAUAACGGACGAGACCUUAACCUGCUAAAUAGGGCUGCGAGCAUCUGCUCGUGGGCUCUUCUUAGAGGGACUAUGGGUAUCAAACCCAUGGAAGUUUGAGGCAACAACAGGUCUGUGAUGCCCUUAGACGUUCUGGGCCGCACGCGCGCUACACUGACGGAGCCAGCAAGUAUAUCCUUGGUCGAGAGGCCCGGGUAAUCUCGUGAAACUCCGUCGUGCUGGGGAUAGAGCAUUGCAAU